Molecule: ribosomal RNA, 403 nt
Filed under: uncultured bacterium
Lineage: Bacteria
Description: bacterial SSU rRNA
Rfam family: Bacterial small subunit ribosomal RNA
Source: RNAcentral
UAGGGAAUAUUGCAAAAUGGGCGAAAGCCCGAUGCAGCAACGCCGCGUGGGCGAUGAAGGCCUUCGGGUCGUAAAGCCCUUUUUGAGGGGAUGAGGAAGGACAGUACCCUCAGAAUAAGCCUCGGCUAACUACGUGCCAGCAGCCGCGGUAAAACGUAGGAGGCGAGCGUUACCCGGAUUUACUGGGCGUAAAGCGCGUGCAGGCGGUCCAGCAAGUUGGAUGUGAAAGCUCCCGGCUUAACUGGGAGAGGUCGUUCAAUACUACUGGACUUGAGAGUGGUAGAGGGAGGUGGAAUUCCGGGUGUAGUGGUGAAAUGCGUAGAUAUCCGGAGGAACACCAGUGGCGAAAGCGGCCUCCUGGACCACUUCUGACGCUCAGACGCGAAAGCUAGGGUAGCGAACG